GUAAGUAUGAUCGUUCUUCGGUUUUACGGUUGAUUCAAGGUGUUUGGGUCAGCUAAUUCCAUAAUAUAUUGGAAAAUCAGUAGCUAAUAAUUAUUGAAUUCCUUCAUUUAAUCAAUCCAUAACAUUUACCCUACAAUAAUGUCGAAACAACAAUUAAUUUUACACUUAACUGCACUUACGCUUCCCAAUUUGUGAGUUUCGAAUGACCAAACGAUUAAGAACAAUUUUCCCUAAUUGAUAUGGGUUUAAUAAAUAAUUAGGAGGGUUCAAGAAAUCAAAUUAAAGCUGGAAUUAACUAGGUAAGAUUCAAGAAACAAAAC
Molecule: long non-coding RNA, 320 nt
Filed under: Gossypium barbadense (sea-island cotton)
Lineage: Eukaryota; Viridiplantae; Streptophyta; Magnoliopsida; Malvales; Malvaceae
Description: long non-coding RNA (GBAR_LNC018594)
Source: RNAcentral